AUUGAACGUUGGCGGCAGGCCUAAAACAUGCAAGUCGAACGGUAACAGCGGGAGCUUGCUCCCGGCUGACGAGUGGCGGACGGGUGAGUAACACGUAGGAAUCUACCUAGUAGUGGGGGACGAACCCGGGAAACCCGGGCGUAUACCGCAUACGCUCUACGGAGGAAAGCGGGGGAGUCUUCGGACCUCGCGCUAUUGGAGGAGCCUGCGUCGGAUUAGCUAGUUGGUGGGGUAAAGGCCUACCAAGGCGACGAUCCGAGCUGGUCUGAGAGGACGAUCAGCCACACUGGAACUGAGACACGGUCCAGACUCCUACGGGAGGCAGCAGUUAGGAAUCUUGGGCAAUGGGCGCAAGCCUGACCCAGCCAUGCCGCGUGUGUG
RNAcentral lists this ribosomal RNA (381 nucleotides) under uncultured bacterium. Its description in RNAcentral is "bacterial SSU rRNA". It matches the Rfam family "Bacterial small subunit ribosomal RNA", at positions 29 to 407 of the family's 1533-position model. The record is from RNAcentral.